GAUGAAGAACGUAGCGAAAUGCGAUACGUAAUGUGAAUUGCAGAAUUCAGUGAAUCAUCGAGUCUUUGAACGCACAUUGCGCCCUCUGGUAUUCCGGAGGGCAUGCCUGUCCGAGCGUCAUUGCUGCCCUCAAGCACGGCUUGUGUGUUGGGCUCCGUCCUCCUUCCGGGGGACGGGCCCGAAAGGCAGCGGCGGCACCGCGUCCGGUCCUCAAGCGUAUGGGGCUUUGUCACCCGCUUUGUAGGACUGGCCGGCGCCUGCCGAUCAACCAAACUUUUUUCCAGGUUGACCUCGGAUCAGGUAGGGAUACCCGCUGAACUUAAGCAUAUCAAUAAGCGGAGGA
RNAcentral lists this unclassified non-coding RNA (343 nucleotides) under soil metagenome. Its description in RNAcentral is "partial contains 5.8S ribosomal RNA, internal transcribed spacer 2, and large subunit ribosomal RNA". The stretch from base 1 to 120 matches the Rfam family "5.8S ribosomal RNA", at positions 35 to 154 of the family's 154-position model. The record is from RNAcentral.